GAUGAACGCUAGCGGCAGGCUUAAUACAUGCAAGUCGAGGGGCAGCAGCUCUGUAGCAAUACAGAGGCUGGCGACCGGCAAACGGGUGCGGAACACGUACGCAACUUACCCAUAACUGGUGAAUAGCCCUCCGAAAGGAGGAUUAAUACAUCGUAACAUAAUGAUCCCGCAUGGGAUUAUUAUUAUAGCUCCGGCGGUUAUGGAUGGGCGUGCGGCNGAUUAGGUAGUUGGCGGAGUAAUAGCCCACCAAGCCUACGAUCAGGUAACUGGUGUGAGAGCACGACCAGUCACGACGGGCACUGAGACACGGGCCCGACUCCUACGGGAGGCAGCAGUAAGGAAUAUUGGUCAAUGGAACGCAAGUCUGAACCAGCCAUG
RNAcentral lists this ribosomal RNA (378 nucleotides) under uncultured bacterium. RNAcentral's name for it is "bacterial SSU rRNA". It matches the Rfam family "Bacterial small subunit ribosomal RNA", at positions 28 to 396 of the family's 1533-position model. The record is from RNAcentral.